Molecule: ribosomal RNA, 468 nt
Filed under: uncultured bacterium
Lineage: Bacteria
Description: partial 16S ribosomal RNA
Rfam family: Bacterial small subunit ribosomal RNA
Source: RNAcentral
GACGAACGCUGGCGGCGUGCUUAACACAUGCAAGUCGAACGGAAAGGCCCUGCUUUUGUGGGGUGCUCGAGUGGCGAACGGGUGAGUAACACGUGAGCAACCUGCCCUUGACUUUGGGAUAACUUCAGGCAACUGGGGCUAAUACCGGAUAGGAGCUCCUGCUGCAUGGUGGGGGUUGGAAAGUUUCGGCGGUUGGGGCUGGACUCGCGGCUUAUCAGCUUGUUGGUGGGGUAGUGGCUUACCAAGGCUUUGACGGGUAGCCGGCCUGAGAGGGUGACCGGCCACAUUGGGACUGAGAUACGGCCCAGACUCCUACGGGAGGCAGCAGUGGGGAAUAUUGCACAAUGGGCGGAAGCCUGAUGCAGCAGCGCCGCGUGCGGGAUGACGGCCUUCGGGUUGCAAACCGCUUUCGCCUGUGACGAAGCGUGAGUGACGGUAAUGGGUAAAGAAGCACCGGCUAACUACGUG